This 79-nucleotide small nuclear RNA is filed under the name Dictyocaulus viviparus (bovine lungworm). Its description in RNAcentral is "SmY spliceosomal RNA". It matches the Rfam family "SmY spliceosomal RNA". Lineage: Eukaryota; Metazoa; Nematoda; Chromadorea; Rhabditida; Metastrongylidae. The record is from Rfam by way of RNAcentral.
CGAGAUCUUGUAUUUCGCGUAGGGCCUUCUAUAAGACCCGUAAACCAAUUUUUGGGAACCCCAGUAAGAUGCUGGGGUU